GGGCACUUAGCUCAGUGGUAGAGCGCCUCGCUUACAUCGAGGAGGUCGUGGGUUCGAUCCCCUCAGUGCCCA
RNAcentral lists this transfer RNA (72 nucleotides) under bacterium. RNAcentral describes it as "tRNA-Val". It matches the Rfam family "tRNA". From Rfam's summary of the family: Transfer RNA (tRNA) molecules are approximately 80 nucleotides in length. The record is from RNAcentral.